This 250-nucleotide ribosomal RNA is filed under the name uncultured Staphylococcus sp. Its description in RNAcentral is "partial 16S ribosomal RNA". It matches the Rfam family "Bacterial small subunit ribosomal RNA", at positions 95 to 339 of the family's 1533-position model. Lineage: Bacteria; Bacillati; Bacillota; Bacilli; Caryophanales; Staphylococcaceae. The record is from RNAcentral.
GCGGCGGACGGGUGAGUAACACGUGGGUAACCUACCUAUAAGACUGGAAUAACUUCGGGAAACCGGAGCUAAUGCCGGAUAACAUUUGGAACCGCAUGGUUCUAAAGUAAAAGAUGGUUUUGCUAUCACUUAUAGAUGGACCCGCGCCGUAUUAGCUAGUUGGUAAGGUAACGGCUUACCAAGGCAACGAUACGUAGCCGACCUGAGAGGGUGAUCGGCCACACUGGAACUGAGACACGGUCCAGACUCC